AUGUACUAGCUUGCUGAUUCCUCCUUCUUGUAGAACCGUAAUGCCAUUAAUUUGGUGUUGCGGGGAAACAGGACUGUUACUUUGAAAAAAUUAGAGUGUUUAAAGCAGGCUAGCGCCUGAAUACAUUAGCAUGGAAUAAUGAAAUAGGACGUUCGAACCUAUUUUGUUGGUUUCUAGGAUUGACGUAAUGAUUAAUAGGGAUAGUUGGGGGCAUUAGUAUUCAAUUGUCAGAGGUGAAAUUCUUGGAUUUAUUGAAGACUGACUACUGCGAAAGCAUUUGCCAAGGAUGUUUUCAUUAAUCAAGAACGAAAGUUAGGGGAUCGAAGACGAUCAGAUACCGUCGUAGUCUUAACCAUAAACUAUGCCGACUAGGGAUCGGAUGAUGUUAAUUUUUUAAUGACUCAUUCGGCGCCUUACG
RNAcentral lists this ribosomal RNA (418 nucleotides) under uncultured Glomeromycotina. RNAcentral describes it as "SSU rRNA". It matches the Rfam family "Eukaryotic small subunit ribosomal RNA", at positions 676 to 1092 of the family's 1831-position model. The record is from RNAcentral. Lineage: Eukaryota; Fungi; Glomeromycota.